This 508-nucleotide ribosomal RNA is filed under the name uncultured bacterium. Its description in RNAcentral is "bacterial SSU rRNA". It matches the Rfam family "Bacterial small subunit ribosomal RNA", at positions 8 to 518 of the family's 1533-position model. The record is from RNAcentral.
AGAGUUUGAUCCUGGCUUAGGACGAACGCUGGCGGCGUGCCUAACACAUGCAAGUCGAACGAGAAUCUACUUAUGAAAUUUCGGAUGGAUUAGGUAGAGGAAAGUGGCGAACGGGCGAGUAACGCGUGAGCAAUCUGCCUUGUACUGGGGAAUAACGUCGGGAAACCGGCGCUAAUACCGCAUAAUACUAUGAGAUCGCAUGGUCAUAUAGUCAAAACUCCGGUGGUACAAGAUGAGCUCGCGUCCAAUUAGCUAGUUGGUGGGGUAAUGGCCCACCAAGGCGACGAUUGGUAGCCGAACUGAGAGGUUGAUCGGCCACAUUGGGACUGAGACACGGCCCAGACUCCUACGGGAGGCAGCAGUGGGGAAUAUUGCGCAAUGGAGGGAACUCUGACGCAGCAACGCCGCGUGAAGGAUGAAGGUUUUCGGAUUGUAAACUUCUUUGAUCGGGGACGAAAUUGACGGUACCCGAGGAACAAGCCACGGCUAACUACGUGCCAGCCGCCGC